GAGUGUCUCGAAAGAAUUUCCAGUUUAGCUAGUGCAUUGAAGAAAGGCUGUGACUGUGCCCACCGUGCUCAGAGGUCAGAGCUGCAUCUCCUGGCUCUGCAGUACGUUGUAUGCAGACAGCAUUGCUGGAGGCUCUACUGCACCUCUGGAGAAGGUCUCGUCUCUGUGCCUGGAGAUCCAACUGAACACUGGUCAGUGUCUCCUCCAGCAAACAUGUCAGGUGUUCUGCAAAAACUGGAGGCAGACUAUAAUGAGAUGAAGGACCAGAUCAUGAAAGGGAUCCCUCUGGAUCAGCUGAAACCUCUGUCUGUAAACCCCGAGAACAUAACUGCAGGAGCAACUUACACACCUGCACAAAUGACAGCUAAUGUGUUAGGUAUCCAUCCCUCGCUGGAUCCACAUAAGAGUGAAACUUCAGAAAAAGACAACGGGGGCUCCGGUAAUCCAAGGAUCUCUCCCUGUCAGGUA
Cynoglossus semilaevis (tongue sole) is the source of this 468-nucleotide long non-coding RNA. RefSeq lists it as uncharacterized. The record is from RefSeq and is a predicted model, not a curated record. The transcript has 4 exons. Lineage: Eukaryota; Metazoa; Chordata; Actinopteri; Pleuronectiformes; Cynoglossidae.